Molecule: long non-coding RNA, 3895 nt
Filed under: Capsicum annuum
Lineage: Eukaryota; Viridiplantae; Streptophyta; Magnoliopsida; Solanales; Solanaceae
Description: long non-coding RNA (CANN_LNC002337)
Source: RNAcentral
GGAGUUGUAAAAGUUUUGGUGACCUCAUGUUGCUAACAUCAUAACGAGGUAUAGUUUAAUAAGAACGAACUAUUGCCUAUGCGACAUUAUAUAGAUUCAGCCUGAAAUGGUACAUUUAUUGUCUUCGUUGGUGCUAUUAUACAAUGCUACAUAAAUAUGGUCAUCUAUCAGAAGAAUAAAACUUUGGAUUGGUAGAGAUCUCUGGAAUUUCUGUUUUUCAUAGAUACAUGUACUCCUACUAAAUCUUUCUGUAAACUUUCUGUCUAUAAGCAAGUAAUUUACCUCACCAUAAUCCCACUAAACAACUCUGUUCCUUAAUAAAGAUGAAACCUGAGAGAAAAAUGGUCUGAAGGACACCGUUUCUUUUAUCAUUCCAUAUGAAUGCAACAUAUUCAGUGGUAUAGAUUGAUACGAGUCUAAGAUGAGUAACUUGGACAGUGACAAUUCAUAUAAAUAGAUCACAGCUUGUUUGGAACUGAUGUGUACCAAUUGUAGUACAAAAGGGGUGAUAUAUCAUCCAUUUUGCUAUGAUCUAUUAAAGUAUCUGAGAGAAGAAUGUUUCUGUCAAUUAACAGAACUUCGGUUAGUUGGCUAUCUGAACUUUUACUUUGUUGGUGAGGGUUCUUUCCCACAUCGCGUCGGAUUCUAAGUAAAUUGUGAAUGAAAAAUAAAGGGAAAAGUUAAAAUGUGAGUUCACUUUAUAGAAGAGUAUCUGUCCCACAUUGGCGGGAGAAAGGAACAUUCUUAUGGUUAAAUUAAGAAGCGUUCCUUCAUAUUUAUAGCAAGGCAAGAAGAAAACAAGCCUCACGUUGUCAUCGUUCUUUGCUUGGCUUCGAUAACUUGGAUUUGAGAGACCAUCUUGUUAGACAAAAUCAUUUGAACACAAGUGUGUUAGAAGUUUCUCAAAAUUGAGGUACCACUAUUUGGUGAGGAAUAAAUUCCAUAAGGACACACCAUGAAUUAGGUAAACUUAUUCUUUUUUUUUCUUAAUCUUUUUCUAAACGUUGGUUUUAUUACUUUUCAGAAAAUAAUUUGAACUUCAUUUUUGUUCUUGAAGUUGUUCUUGAAUUUAAUGUUGAAGUUAUUGUUGUAAAUACAGAUUUUCUACCCAGAAAACAACACAUUAUAAUCUCCUCACCAUUUCCCUUUAAAAGAGAUUUGAGAAAAAAAAAAAAACAUAACUUCUAGGAAGUAGGGUAGACUGCUGCUGUAUUCCUAAAUUUGGGACCAUCUUUGUGGAUGUUAUGCUUGAAAGAUUCUCAUUGCCUUGGCUCUUAACAAUAUAAAGAAAAUAGAUGACAGAAUUAAUUUUUCUUUUUAUUAUGAGUUAGCAAAUCCGUUUUGUGAACCACAGGCCAACCAGUCAACUAUCAAGGGAAGAGGGUAGAUUCUUUUCUUCUUGCAACUUAUUUUCCACCUUUAAUCUGUCUGCACACAAAAUCUGUUUUCCACAUUUGGAAAUUAUAGUCUAACCUUUACACCGUUUUAUUUGUUUUGGUGCUGUAGAGUGGAGUGACAGACCUUUGGAAAUACCACAUAUACAAUCCAGUUUCCAAAUUCUCUUGAAGCAUUAUAAUUGAUUUUUUGUAAAUACCACACAUACAAUGUAGUGUCAAAAAUUCCCUCGAAGCGUUCUAUUUCGAGUGCAUAGUAACUGCAUGGAGAAGCACAUUUUACUAUUGAUUCUUCAAUUUCUAGUUUAAAUAUGACUGUCAAAGAAGCUCAACCGGCUUUGUAGAAUCUUGUUACAAGAGCUAGUAUGAUUUUAGCCAAUAAUUUGACCGAGAAUAAUUUCUCUUUUUUCUUUUUGCUUUGGUGCCACUUGUAGUUCCAAAAUGCAAAGGGUUGUACCCUUAGCUCUUCCUGAUUUGCAACUUCAGGAUACAAUUUCCCAGUCUUUGGUCAAUUUGUCCUUUCUCAACGUGCUCAUUCUUGGGAACUAUAGCAUCCAUGGUUCCAUCCUUUAUGGCCUUGGCCACAUGCCUCACUUGCAAGCGAUUGAUAUUCAAAACAACCAACUCCAAGUAUGUAUUCCAACAUGUCAAUUCAACAUCAGAGAGUUCAAGUAUUUUCAUUGUCUUUCAAUAAACUCAGUUGUGAAAUGUGGAAAGGGUCAUGGUUAUAAAAGUUGCAACUAUUAUUGUUACAAUGUGUGGUAUUUAUACAUAUACAAGUAUAGAAGAGAAAGGAGUUUGCUCAACAUAAGAGGCCUAAAGAUAAGAGGAACUAAAUUCCUAUACAAAUACAACUAAAAUUUAGUAAUGUAAUACGACUAUACAUGCUCAUCCUUAUCAUGUUCCCUCAACAUUGGCUCAAUUUUCUUGAGACCAAGGUUGCUAACAAAGUUGACAAAGGACCUUCAGGAAAGUGCUUUAGGUAAAGUAUCUGCUAGAUGAGCUCUUGUUGGAAUGAGAUGAACUAAAAUUUUCUCCUAUCAAAUUCGUCAGAGACAAAUUGAAAGUCGAUUUCCACAUGUUCCUUUUGAAUAUGAAAGACUAGAUGGCGAAACAGGCAAGUAACCCUGAUGUUAUUGCAAAAAAUCUUGUGUAGGACAAGGACGCUUGACCCAAGUUCUUGCAGCAGGUUGGUGAGAACCUUUAGCUCAACCUUGUACUCCUCAUCCAUGGAAGAUCUAGCAACAGUACGUUGCUUGUUUGAGCACCAACUAAUUGGAUUGUUUCCAAGAAAAAUAACAUACACUGAGAUGGAGUGUCUAGUGUUGGGAAUACCAACUCGAUUUGCAUCUGAGUAGGCAGGUUACUCUAAAGAGUUAUCAUAUUUGUAGAAUGUCCAUUGAUUAUGGUUCCAUUAGAUAACGAAUAAGCCCCUUUGUUGCCUGCCAAUGUUUGGUAGAUGGAGAGGGUGUUGAAAUUGGGCAAGCUUGUUUACUGCAAGCCUAUAUCUGGUAAUAUGAAGAAGAGGUAUUCAGUGAUCCAAUAACCUUCCUAUAAAGCUUAGCAUCAAUCUGCUGAAGGAGAACUAUCGUCCAAGGAUAGAAUGUCACUUGUAGAAAAAUAAGUGUAUUGCAUCCAGCAUGCUGAACGAGUAUGUCCACAAUGAAGUUACUUUAUGUGAGUUUCAAUCCAGGAUCAUGUUGUAUGACUUCACCUAGAAAAAAAUGUAAGCGGCCAAGGUCCUUAAAUCAAAAAUCUGUAUCCCAAUAGCAUAAUUGUUUCCUGGACUUGUGAGUUGUUAGAGCUAGUGUCACGACCCAAACUAUGGCCCUGGCGAUGACGGGCAUCCCAAAUAAACUAAUGCCUGGGAUGACCCCUUAGCAUUUUAUCAUAAGCAUAGUCAAAACUAAUGUAGCGGAAACAAGCCAUAAGAAAAUGAGUUCAACAAUUAAAUGAAGUAAUUUUCAUAUCUUAAGAGCAAAAUUCAAACCAAUUAGCGAACACCGUUUACGAAGCCUCUAACUUUAAGAAUACUCAUAUGUCGGGACAUAGCUCCAACAAUUCCAUAGAAACCUUAAAAUGAUAGAAUGGAAACGUAAGAGAAAUGAACAAUCACCUUCUAGAUGAUGGAGGGCUUAUCACUUAUCACCAGUUGUCCAAGAGAGAAUGUGAGAGACCUAAGGCUGCACAUAACAUUUUAAAAGUGCCUCCGAAUCUACAUUAUGAAAUGAUGUAGCGUUUUGAGAUUGACAUACAACUCAGGGAAAGGAAUAAAGCAUUCAUUAUAAAACCAGUCAUAUAACUUAUUUUCAUUAUCAAUAAUAAUAAUAAUAAUAAAGGACGAGAAAAAGGACAAGGAACAUAAAGACAUGACCAUUUAAAAUUUAGUCUUGAGCUAUGCAGUUUUUCACCGACAUCCAGUAACCUACGAGCUAUAUGAUUCAAUACUCCCCGACCGACGGGGCCCUAAUCCAUGUUAGUCGCAUGAACUGAGAUUAGGC